This 777-nucleotide ribosomal RNA is filed under the name uncultured Candidatus Poseidoniales archaeon. RNAcentral describes it as "SSU rRNA". It matches the Rfam family "Archaeal small subunit ribosomal RNA", at positions 126 to 906 of the family's 1478-position model. Lineage: Archaea; Methanobacteriati; Thermoplasmatota; Candidatus Poseidoniia; Candidatus Poseidoniales. The record is from RNAcentral.
AUAACCUCGCGAAAGUGAGAACAAUACCCCAUGGGUCACUAUGCCUGGAACGGUUAGUGGCUGAAAGCUCCGGCGGCACAGGAUGGGUCUGCGGCGUAUCAGGUCGUAGGGGGUGUAACGUACCUCCUAGCCUUCGACGCGUACGGGUUGUGAGAGCAAUUGCCCGGAGAUGGAUUCUGAGACACGAAUCCAGGCCCUACGGGGCGCAGCAGGCGCGAAAACUUGACAAUGCGAGAAAUCGUGAUCAGGGGACUCCAGUUGGCUGGAUCAAAAGUCCAGUCUGAACCGACUUUAAAUCGGUCGGGUAAUAGGGGCGGGAAAGACCGGUGCCAGCCGCCGCGGUAAUACCGGCGCCCCAAGUGGUCGUCACUAUUAUUGGGCCUAAAACGUCCGUAGCCGGUUUGGUAAAUCCGUGGGUAAAUCAGACAGCCCAACUGUCUGAAUUCUGCGGGGACUGCCAGACUUGAGACCGGGAGAGGUGCGGGGUACUUGCGGGGUACCGGUAAAAUGGGAUCAUCCCGUAGAGACCACCUGUUGCGAAGGCGCCGCACUAGAACGGAUCUGACGGUCAGGGACGAAGCCUAGGGGCACGAACCGGAUUAGAUACCCGGGUAGUCCUAGGUGUAAACGCUGUGGACUUGGUGUCGGGGACCUUCUGAGGGUUUCCGGUGCCGGAGUGAAGAUGUUAAGUCCACUGCCUGGGGAGUACGGUCGCAAGGCUGAAACUUAAAGGAAUUGGCGGGGGAGCACCGCAACGAGAGGAGCGUGCGGUUUAAU